RNAcentral lists this ribosomal RNA (193 nucleotides) under uncultured bacterium. RNAcentral's name for it is "partial 16S ribosomal RNA". It matches the Rfam family "Bacterial small subunit ribosomal RNA", at positions 338 to 524 of the family's 1533-position model. The record is from RNAcentral.
CCUACGGGAGGCAGCAGUAGGGAAUCUUCCACAAUGGACGAAAGUCUGAUGGAGCAACGCCGCGUGAGUGAAGAAGGAUUUCGGUUCGUAAAACUCUGUUGCGAGGGAAGAACAAGUACGAAGUAACUACUCGUACCUUGACGGUACCUCGUUAGAAAGCCACGGCUAACUACGUGCCAGCAGCCGCGGUAAU